UACAGAGGUCUCAAGCGUUGUUCGGAUUCAUUGGGCGUAAAGGGUGCGUAGGCGGCGCGGUAAGUCGGGUGUGAAAUCUCGGGGCUUAACUCCGAAACUGCAUUCGAUACUGCCGUGCUUGAGGACUGGAGAGGAGACUGGAAUUUACGGUGUAGCGGUGAAAUGCGUAGAUAUCGUAAGGAAGACCAGUGGCGAAGGCGGGUCUCUGGACCGAUACUGACGCUGAGGAGCGAAAGCGUGGGGAGCGAACAGG
RNAcentral lists this ribosomal RNA (253 nucleotides) under uncultured bacterium. Its description in RNAcentral is "partial 16S ribosomal RNA". It matches the Rfam family "Bacterial small subunit ribosomal RNA", at positions 524 to 776 of the family's 1533-position model. The record is from RNAcentral.